This 918-nucleotide ribosomal RNA is filed under the name uncultured archaeon. RNAcentral's name for it is "bacterial SSU rRNA". It matches the Rfam family "Archaeal small subunit ribosomal RNA", at positions 1 to 922 of the family's 1478-position model. The record is from RNAcentral.
UUCCGGUUGAUCCUGCCGGAGGUUACUGCUAUCGGGGUUCGAUUAAGCCAUGCAAGUUAAAUGUUUUUCGUAAACAUAGCGAACUGCUCAGUAACACGUGGAUAACUUAACCUUAGGUCCGGCAUAACCCCGGGAAACUGGGGAUAAUUCCGGAUGUAUCAAGGAUGCUGGAAUGCCCUUUGGUUCAAAGUUUUUGUGCCUAAGGAUAGGUCUGCGGUCUAUCAGGUUGUAGUGGGUGUAACGUACCUACUAGCCGACGACGGAUACGGGUUGUGAGAGCAAGAGCCCGGAGAUGGAUUCUGAGACAAGAAUCCAGGCCCUACGGGGUGCAGCAGGCGCGAACACUUUACAAUGCGGGAAACCGCGAUAAGGGAACCCCGAGUGCCAGUACUAAGUGCUGGCUGUCUAGAUGAAUAGAUAUCAUUUAAUAGCAAGGGCCGGGCAAGACCGGUGCCAGCCGCCGCGGUAACACCGGCGGCCCGAGUGGUAACCGAUAUUAUUGGGUCUAAAGGGUCCGUAGCCUGUUUAAUAAGUCCUUUGGGAAAUCUGGCAGCUUAACUGUCAGGCUGCUAAAGGAUACUGUUAAACUUGGGACCGGUAGACGUAGGGGGUACUCCAGGGGUAGGAGUGAAAUCUUGUAAUCCCUGGGGGACCAUCUGUGGCGAAGGCGCCCUACGAGAACGGGUCCGACGGUGAGGGACGAAAGCUAGGGGAGCAAACCGGAUUAGAUACCCGGGUAGUCCUAGCUGUAAACGAUGCUCGCUAGGUGUCAGGCACGGUGCGUCCGUGUCUGGUGCCGCAGGGAAGCCGUUAAGCGAGCCACCUGGGGAGUACGGUCGCAAGGCUGAAAUUUAAAGGAAUUGGCGGGGGAGCACUACAACGGGUGGAGCCUGCGGUUUAAUUGGAUUCAACGCCGGA